Molecule: ribosomal RNA, 478 nt
Filed under: uncultured bacterium
Lineage: Bacteria
Description: bacterial SSU rRNA
Rfam family: Bacterial small subunit ribosomal RNA
Source: RNAcentral
AUUGAACGCUGGCGGAAUGCUUUACACAUGCAAGUCGAACGGCAGCACGGGGCAACCUGGUGGCGAGUGGCGAACGGGUGAGUAAUACAUCGGAACGUGCCCAAUCGUGGGGGGAUAACGUAGCGAAAGUUACGCUAAUACCGCAUACGAUCUACGGAUGAAAGCGGGGGAUCGCAAGACCUCGCGCGAGUGGAGCGGCCGAUGUCAGAUUAGGUAGUUGGUGGGGUAAAGGCUCACCAAGCCAACGAUCUGUAGCUGGUCUGAGAGGACGACCAGCCACACUGGAACUGAGACACGGUCCAGACUCCUACGGGAGGCAGCAGUGGGGAAUUUUGGACAAUGGGCGCAAGCCUGAUCCAGCCAUUCCGCGUGCAGGAUGAAGGCCUGGGUUGUAAACCUCUUUCAGCAGGGAAGAAGCGAAAGUGACGGUACCUGCAGAAGAAGCACCGGCUAACUACGUGCCAGCAGCCGCGGUAAU